RNAcentral lists this ribosomal RNA (424 nucleotides) under uncultured bacterium. Its description in RNAcentral is "bacterial SSU rRNA". It matches the Rfam family "Bacterial small subunit ribosomal RNA", at positions 359 to 776 of the family's 1533-position model. The record is from RNAcentral.
GAAUUUUUCUCAAUGGGGGAAACCCUGAAGGAGCGACGCCGCGUGGAGGAUGAAGGUCUUCGGAUUGUAAACUCCUGUCAUUUGGGAACAAUGUGCAUUUAUUAACUGUAGAUGCAUUGAUAGUACCAGAAGAGGAAGAGACGGCUAACUCUGUGCCAGCAGCCGCGGUAAUACAGAGGUCUCAAGCGUUGUUCGGAUUCAUUGGGCGUAAAGGGUGCGUAGGUGGCGGGGUAAGUCUGGUGUGAAAUCUCGGGGCUCAACCCCGAAACUGCACUGGAUACUGCCUUGCUUGAGUACUGGAGAGGAGAUUGGAAUUUACGGUGUAGCAGUGAAAUGCGUAGAUAUCGUAAGGAAGACCAGUGGCGAAGGCGAAUCUCUGGACAGUUACUGACACUGAGGCACGAAGGCCAGGGGAGCAAACGGG